Molecule: ribosomal RNA, 253 nt
Filed under: uncultured bacterium
Lineage: Bacteria
Description: partial 16S ribosomal RNA
Rfam family: Bacterial small subunit ribosomal RNA
Source: RNAcentral
UACGUAGGGUGCAAGCGUUGUCCGGAAUUAUUGGGCGUAAAGAGCUCGUAGGCGGCUUGUCGCGUCGGCUGUGAAAACCUAGGGCUCAACCCUGGGCCUGCAGCCGAUACGGGCAAGCUAGAAUUCGGUGGGGGAGACUGGAAUUCCUGGUGUAGCGGUGAAAUGCGCAGAUAUCAGGAGGAACACCGGUGGCGAAGGCGGGUCUCUGGGCCGAUAUUGACGCUGAGGAGCGAAAGCGUGGGGAGCGAACAGG